Molecule: ribosomal RNA, 397 nt
Filed under: uncultured bacterium
Lineage: Bacteria
Description: partial 16S ribosomal RNA
Rfam family: Bacterial small subunit ribosomal RNA
Source: RNAcentral
CUACGUAGGGGGCGAGCGUUGUCCGGAAUGAUUGGGCGUAAAGGGCGCGUAGGCGGCCCGGUAAGUCUGGAGUGAAAGUCCUGUUUUUAAGAUGGGAAUUGCUUUGGAUACUGUCGGGCUUGAGUGCAGGAGAGGUAAGUGGAAUUCCCAGUGUAGCGGUGAAAUGCGUAGAGAUUGGGAGGAACACCAGUGGCGAAGGCGACUUACUGGACUGUAACUGACGCUGAGGCGAGAAAGUGUGGGGAGCAAACAGGAUUAGAUACCCUGGUAGUCCACACUGUAAACGAUGAAGGCUAGGUGUAGGGGGUAUCGACCCCUUCUGUGCCGCAGUCAACACAAUAAGCAUUCCGCCUGGGGAGUACGGCCGCAAGGUUGAAACUCAAAUGAAUUGACGGGG